UAAUCUGCCCACUGAUUUAGAAUUAAAGGGCUGCAGUAUAUUGACUGUACAAAGGUAGCAUAAUCAUUAGUCAUUUAAUUGAUGACUUGCAUGAAAGAUUGGAUGAAAUAUAAGCUGUCUUUUAUUUAUUUAUAAAAUUUAAUUUUUUUAUAAAAAAGUUUAAAUAAUUUAAAAAGACGAGAAGACCCUAUAGAGUUUUAUAAACAAUUAGGUUAAGAUUAUAUUGAAAAUUAAAUUUAAAAUUUAAUUAUUUAUUUUAUUGGGGUGAUGAAAAAAUAUAAAAAACUUUUUUUUUUAAUUAAAACAUUUAUAAGUGAUUAAAUGAUCCAUUAUUAUUGAUUACAAGAAAAAAUUACCUUAGGGAUAACAGCGUAAUUUUUUUUUUUAGUUCAAAUAAGAAAAAGAGUUUGCGACCUCGAUGUUGGAUUAAGAUAAAUUUUAAAUGUAGAAG
RNAcentral lists this ribosomal RNA (451 nucleotides) under Acrapex seydeli. RNAcentral's name for it is "partial 16S large subunit ribosomal RNA". The record is from RNAcentral. Lineage: Eukaryota; Metazoa; Arthropoda; Insecta; Lepidoptera; Noctuidae.